RNAcentral lists this ribosomal RNA (467 nucleotides) under uncultured bacterium. RNAcentral's name for it is "partial 16S ribosomal RNA". It matches the Rfam family "Bacterial small subunit ribosomal RNA", at positions 28 to 506 of the family's 1533-position model. The record is from RNAcentral.
GACGAACGCUGGCGGCGUGCUUAACACAUGCAAGUCGAACGGAAAGGCCCUGCUUUUGUGGGGUGCUCGAGUGGCGAACGGGUGAGUAACACGUGAGUAACCUGCCCUUGACUUUGGGAUAACUUCAGGAAACUGGGGCUAAUACCGGAUAGGAGCUCCUGCUGCAUGGUGGGGGUUGGAAAGUUUCGGCGGUUGGGGAUGGACUCGCGGCUUAUCAGCUUGUUGGUGGGGUAGUGGCUUACCAAGGCUUUGACGGGUAGCCGGCCUGAGAGGGUGACCGGCCACAUUGGGACUGAGAUACGGCCCAGACUCCUACGGGAGGCAGCAGUGGGGAAUAUUGCACAAUGGGCGGAAGCCUGAUGCAGCAACGCCGCGUGCGGGAUGACGGCCUUCGGGUGGUAAACCGCUUUCGCCUGUGACGAAGCGUGAGGGACGGUAAUGGGUAAAGAAACGCCGGCGAACUACGU